CAAGGAAGGAGAAUGGUGCUGGCUACCAAUUUUGCUACACUCAUUCUAACAAUGAGUCGAGUUCUCAUUGCUGAGCUAAGCAGUGCUGGCCAAUCCCCUAUGCCUUCAUGUGACUUCUUAUCACAGUGAUGAUGCAAUUGUCAGAAGACUAAACAAGGCAGCAGGCCAGAAUCUAAUAGCCAAAACCACUCUGUAGCCUUCCAUAUGGACAAAUAGUGCUUCUGAGCUCUAAUCUACUCCCCUGAGCCACUUGAUUGCCUGAUUCCCAAGUGACAGUGCUGGGAAUUUCAGGGUCUCCUUUUCAAAAAAAAAAAAAAAUUGGUAAACAAGAAGAAAGGGGACAUUAGGGAGAAGAGACUAAGAAAAUUCUGAGGGAAUGGGGUAAGGGAAUUUGGGGGCAAGGUCAGAGGCCAAAAAAGCAGGAGGCAAAGUCAAAGCUGGCAUUUCUUGUCCUCAAAACAGGAUUGUGCUGGAGAAACUGGGAUAGAGGCCAUUCGGUGUCCAAAUCCUACUAUUCUUUUCCAACUAGCCAGGUGACGGUUGUGCGCAAAAUAGUUAAGGAAAAAGCGGAGCCAUUCUUUUUCCUUGGUGGGCUGGAAUGUUCCCUGUUGAUAGCCUUUGAUGUUGCUCUUUUUGGUUUCUAGACACUGAUCGGCCUUGUGCUCUUCACCAAGACUAUAGAUAAGAAAUUUUUGGAGAAACUCAAGAUCAUUUUAAGACAAGGUGGCUUAGUAUGCUCUACGGCAGGGGCGGCCCAGCCUAAUGAACUGAAGAGCUGCCAUCCAAAAGCUUAAUGGGGCUGAGAAUCACAGAACAAGUGGAAGGUGGCUGUGCUCUGCACACAGUAAGCGCUCAAUAAAUACGAUUGAAUGAAUGACUACAGGCCCUAAGGAUUUAUAAUCCUAAGGAGUGAGGCCAAAGAACUGGAGAAAGGUGCAGACCAAAGCAGCCAGUGACCGAAUGUGAUACAGCAGACAAAGCUAUGGCUGGGAACCAAUGAACGGAUCUCAGGGGCCAGCGCCUACGGAAUCAGAAACCAACCAAGAAAAACAAAAGAUCAUGCAGAUGGGCCAAAGAAGUGGCAUGUCAGACUGUGAAGCCACUGACCUCUUCCCUUGCCAGGCACAGACAACCACCGGAAUCCAGAAAAGGCCCACACACAAGAGAUCCACCAAUUCUGGAAGGUGAAUAUCAUUGACCUGAACAUGGCAGAGAUGCCAUGGGGAAUGUCAUGUGUCAUUUUCCCCUUUGCGAAAUAAAAUGGGAAAAAAAAUGAGAAAAUGGAGGAUUUC
This 1292-nucleotide long non-coding RNA is filed under the name Ornithorhynchus anatinus (platypus). RNAcentral's name for it is "lncRNA (ENSOANG00000042456.1)". The record is from RNAcentral. Lineage: Eukaryota; Metazoa; Chordata; Mammalia; Monotremata; Ornithorhynchidae.